RNAcentral lists this ribosomal RNA (405 nucleotides) under uncultured bacterium. Its description in RNAcentral is "bacterial SSU rRNA". It matches the Rfam family "Bacterial small subunit ribosomal RNA", at positions 28 to 416 of the family's 1533-position model. The record is from RNAcentral.
GAUGAACGCUGGCGGCGUGCUUAACACAUGCAAGUCGAACGAAGCACUUUACCGGAUUUCUUCGGAUUGAAAGUUUAGUGACUGAGUGGCGGACGGGUGAGUAACGCGUGGGUAACCUGCCUCAUACAGGGGGAUAACAGUUGGAAACGACUGCUAAUACCGCAUAAGCGCACGGUAUCGCAUGAUACAGUGUGAAAAACUCCGGUGGUAUGAGAUGGACCCGCGUCUGAUUAGCUAGUUGGUGAGGUAACGGCCACCAAGGCGACGAUCAGUAGCCGACCUGAGAGGUGACCGGCCACAUUGGGACUGAGAUACGGCCCAGACUCCUACGGGAGGCAGCAGUGGGGAAUAUUGGGCAAUGGGGGAAACCCUGACCCAAGCAACGCCGCGUGAAGGAAGAAGGCC